UCCCUUAGUAACUGCGAGUGAAGAGGGAAAAGCUCAAAUUUAAAAUCUGGCAGUGUUUCACUGUCCGAGUUGUAACCUAGAGAAGUGUAACCUGCGCUGGACCGUGUAUAAGUCUCCUGGAAUGGAGCAUCACUGAGGGUGAGAAUCCCGUCUUUGACACGGACCACCAGUGCAUUGUGGUUGUGCUCUCAACGAGUCGAGUUGUUUGGGAAUGCAGCUCUAAAUGGGUGGUAAAUUCCAUCUAAAGCUAAAUAUUGGCGAGAGACCGAUAGCGAACAAGUACCGUGAGGGAAAGAUGAAAAGAACUUUGGAAAGAGAGUUAAACAGUAUGUGAAAUUGUUGAAAGGGAAACGUUUGAAGUCAGUCGCGUCGGUUGGGGAUCAGCCUGACAUUGUUGGGUGUACUUCCUGGUUGACGGGCCAACGUCAGUUUUGAUUGCCAGAAAAAGGCCAAAGGAAUGUGGCACCUUUGGGUGUGUUAUAGCCCUUGGUCGUAUAUGGUGGUUGGGACUGAGGAAAGCAGCGUGCCGAAAGGCCGGGUUUCGACCACGUUCACGCUGAGGAUGUUGGCAUAAUGGCUUUAAGCGACCCGUCUUGAAACACGGACCAAGGAGUCUAACAUGCAUGCGAGUGUUUGGGUGGAAAACCCUUACGCGUAAUGAAAGUGAAAGUUGAGAUCCCUGUCGUGGGGAGCAUCGACGCCCGGACCAGAACUUUUGGGACGGAUCUGCGGUAGAGCACGUAUGUUGGGACCCGAAAGAUGGUGAACUAUGCCUGAAUAGGGUGAAGCCAGAGGAAACUCUGGUGGAGGCUCGUAGCGAUCUGACGUGCAAAUCGAUCGUCAAAUUUGGGUAUAGGGGCGAAAGACUAAUCGAACCAUCUAGUAGCUGGUUCCUGCCGAAGUU
RNAcentral lists this ribosomal RNA (904 nucleotides) under Amanita flavorubens. Its description in RNAcentral is "partial 28S ribosomal RNA". It matches the Rfam family "Eukaryotic large subunit ribosomal RNA", at positions 76 to 968 of the family's 3401-position model. Lineage: Eukaryota; Fungi; Basidiomycota; Agaricomycetes; Agaricales; Amanitaceae. The record is from RNAcentral.